UUUGACUUGUACCUUUGUCGGAGUUCUCGGACACUUUGAUGUACGAAAUGCAAAGAGCUUCAUCUUCUUUUGUUGUCCAAUUAGCUCCUUUGAUAGACAUUUUUUUUGGCUAACAAGAAAAGAAAAUAGAAGAAGUAUGUGAGAUGAAUUGCUAAAGAAAGAUAGAAGAUGUGAGUUAUGGAGGAUUGAGGGUUGUAUUUAUAGGAAAAUUGAUAGAAUAAAAAAAAUAAAAACUAGCCCUUUUUUCUAUUUAAGGAGGAACUAGCCGUUUUUUUUUUUACUUAAUUAACAACUAGCCGUUAGGGAAAAUAAUUACACAGCUAUAAGCAUUCAAAUGAUCAAAUCAUUGUGAGGAAAAGAACUAGCCGUUAGGGAAAAUGUGAAGCAUACCUAGAACCAAUUAAAAGCCACCAUUUGUCAAAAUCAGCCACCCAUUUGCAUCAAAUUUGUUUUUUUAUUCUGAUGAGGUCCCACAAAUUGGGUUGGACUGGGCUAGCCAAAGGGCUAACUUUGGCCCUUUUCAUGGCCCUUUGGCCCUUUUUUGGUCCUUUGGCCCUCUCUUUUUCCAUUGUUGGAGACCAUGAUAGGGCCAAAAUAUAGGAAAUGGCCCUUUGGACUCUAUUGCUGGAGAAGGCCUUAGGGCUAAAGCUCGGCCCGACUCUUUCAAUUGUUGGUAUAGCGUUGACCAAAAGUAAAUAGCAUAUACUUUCCAAACUCUUCUUUUUGGGAAGCAAGGCGAGGGUCUUCACCUUCAUGGGCAUGGGCAAGUCUCUUGGAAGGUAGAGCUCUGAUCCCGAAUGGGUCGAUUUGGAGCAUCGGUAUGGUGUUUUUUUAUUUUAUUUUCUUUAGACUCGUUUCAUGUUUGAUUUUAUAUGCGAUGACUAAUUAACUAGGUGAUGAUAAUGUACAAUGACAUAAUAUUGUUUAUUUUUAUGGAAAAAUAGUUCAAAAGUUUUGAAGUUUUAGGGGGGUGUAUUGUAUUUGGAUUCGUACAGACUUAUUUUAAUCAAUUGACUUUUUGAAAAGUCUAUAGACUCUUUGAAAAGUUCAUAGACUUUCACUGAUUUCUUAAAACCAUCGAUUUUUAAUCACAGACUUUAACUGAUUUUUGAAAUCUACAGAUUUCAUAUGAAUGACUUAUGUAGAUUUCUUAAUACUUACAGAGUUACAUAAAAGGAAAAAAAAAAUAAAGAUGCAAUGACAAACACAUAAUGACACCGAUUAUAAGUUUAGUGCUCAUCUAUCUAAUUUCGAUGCAUACCGUUGUAAUAUUUGAUUGA
This 1280-nucleotide long non-coding RNA is filed under the name Fragaria vesca (wild strawberry). Its description in RNAcentral is "long non-coding RNA (FVES_LNC004580)". The record is from RNAcentral. Lineage: Eukaryota; Viridiplantae; Streptophyta; Magnoliopsida; Rosales; Rosaceae.